Molecule: ribosomal RNA, 385 nt
Filed under: uncultured eukaryote
Lineage: Eukaryota
Description: SSU rRNA
Rfam family: Eukaryotic small subunit ribosomal RNA
Source: RNAcentral
CAAUAGCGUAUAUUAAAGUUGCUGCAAGUUAAAAAGCUCGUAGUUGGAUUUGUGGCGUAGGUCGUCCCGGCGGGGCUCUUUUACUAGGGCCGUUUGUCUGGUUUUCGACCGCACCAUUCUCGGUAGCGUGUGGCUGGCAUUAGGUUGUCGGCUUCUUCGCGCCCGUCGUUUACUGUGAAAAAUUAGAGUGUUCAAAAGCAGGCUUAGGCCGUUGGAUACAUUAGCAUGGAAUAAUGAGAUAGGGCCACGACGGUCUAUUUUGUUGGUUUGCACGUUGUGGUAAUGAUUAACAGGAACGUUGGGGGUAGUUCGUAUUCGAAUUGUCAGAGGUGAAAUUCUUGGAUUUAUGGAAGACGAACUACUGCGAAAGCAUUUACCAAGGAUG